RNAcentral lists this ribosomal RNA (695 nucleotides) under Enterobacter ludwigii. RNAcentral's name for it is "bacterial SSU rRNA". It matches the Rfam family "Bacterial small subunit ribosomal RNA", at positions 87 to 777 of the family's 1533-position model. Lineage: Bacteria; Pseudomonadati; Pseudomonadota; Gammaproteobacteria; Enterobacterales; Enterobacteriaceae. The record is from RNAcentral.
GGUGACGAGUGGCGGACGGGUGAGUAAUGUCUGGGAAACUGCCUGAUGGAGGGGGAUAACUACUGGAAACGGUAGCUAAUACCGCAUAACGUCGCAAGACCAAAGAGGGGGACCUUCGGGCCUCUUGCCAUCAGAUGUGCCCAGAUGGGAUUAGCUAGUAGGUGGGGUAAUGGCUCACCUAGGCGACGAUCCCUAGCUGGUCUGAGAGGAUGACCAGCCACACUGGAACUGAGACACGGUCCAGACUCCUACGGGAGGCAGCAGUGGGGAAUAUUGCACAAUGGGCGCAAGCCUGAUGCAGCCAUGCCGCGUGUAUGAAGAAGGCCUUCGGGUUGUAAAGUACUUUCAGCGGGGAGGAAGGUGUUGCGGUUAAUAACCGCAGCAAUUGACGUUACCCGCAGAAGAAGCACCGGCUAACUCCGUGCCAGCAGCCGCGGUAAUACGGAGGGUGCAAGCGUUAAUCGGAAUUACUGGGCGUAAAGCGCACGCAGGCGGUCUGUCAAGUCGGAUGUGAAAUCCCCGGGCUCAACCUGGGAACUGCAUUCGAAACUGGCAGGCUAGAGUCUUGUAGAGGGGGGUAGAAUUCCAGGUGUAGCGGUGAAAUGCGUAGAGAUCUGGAGGAAUACCGGUGGCGAAGGCGGCCCCCUGGACAAAGACUGACGCUCAGGUGCGAAAGCGUGGGGGAGCAAACAGGA